Molecule: ribosomal RNA, 567 nt
Filed under: Glomeromycotina sp. RFLP4 YL-2011
Lineage: Eukaryota; Fungi; Glomeromycota
Also listed under: 1 other name
Description: SSU rRNA
Rfam family: Eukaryotic small subunit ribosomal RNA
Source: RNAcentral
UUGGAGGGCAAGUCUGGUGCCAGCAGCCGCGGUAAUUCCAGCUCCAAUAGCGUAUAUUAAAGUUGUUGCAGUUAAAAAGCUCGUAGUUGAACUUCGGGGUCUACCCAUUGGUCAGGCUUAAUUGUCUGCACUGGUGAGAUGGAUCUCUACCUUCUGAGGAACUUUCAUGCCAUUUAUUUGGUGUGAUUGGAAAUCAGGACUGUUACUUUGAAAAAAUUAGAGUGUUUAAAGCAGACUAUCGUCUGAAUACAUUAGCAUGGAAUAAUGAAAUAGGACGGACUGAUUCUAUUUCGUUGGUUUCUAGGAUCACCGUAAUGAUUAAUAGGGAUAGUUGGGGGCAUUAGUAUUCAAUUGUCAGAGGUGAAAUUCUUGGAUUUAUUGAAGACUAACUACUGCGAAAGCAUUUGCCAAGGAUGUUUUCAUUAAUCAAGAACGAAAGUUAGGGGAUCGAAGACGAUCAGAUACCGUCGUAGUCUUAACCAUAAACUAUGCCGACUAGGGAUCGGACGAAGUUAAUUUUAUAAUGACGCGUUCGGCACCUUACGGGAAACCAAAGUGUUUGGGUUC